Molecule: ribosomal RNA, 482 nt
Filed under: uncultured bacterium
Lineage: Bacteria
Description: partial 16S ribosomal RNA
Rfam family: Bacterial small subunit ribosomal RNA
Source: RNAcentral
GAUGAACGCUAGCGGCAGGCCUAAUACAUGCAAGUCGAACGAGAUUAAGAGGCUUGCUUCUUAUGAAAGUGGCGCACGGGUGCGUAACGCGUAUGCAACCUACCUUAAUCAGGGGGAUAGCCCGAAGAAAUUCGGAUUAAGACCGCAUAAAAACACAGGAUAGCAUUAUCCAAUGUUCAAAUAUUUAUAGGAUUAAGAUGGGCAUGCGUGUCAUUAGCUAGUUGGCGGGGUAACGGCCCACCAAGGCGACGAUGACUAGGGGAUCUGAGAGGAUGACCCCCCACACUGGUACUGAGACACGGACCAGACUCCUACGGGAGGCAGCAGUAAGGAAUAUUGGGCAAUGGAGGGAACUCUGAACCAGCCAUGCCGCGUGCAGGAAGACAGCCCUCUGGGUCGUAAACUGCUUUUAUUCGGGAAUAAACCUUUCUACGUGUAGGAAGCUGAAGGUACCGAAGGAAUAAGAAUCGGCUAACUCCGUG